Molecule: long non-coding RNA, 1846 nt
Organism: Monodelphis domestica (gray short-tailed opossum)
Lineage: Eukaryota; Metazoa; Chordata; Mammalia; Didelphimorphia; Didelphidae
Source: Ensembl
GGAAAACACAAAGCAAGAUCCAGGAGGUGAGAGAUCCAGCUUCUGUGUCACUGUUGGCAUCCCAAGAUGCUUUCCUGCUUCUCCUCAACAGUUAAAACUUUUACAUCAUGAACAUCUUUUCCUUAGUGUCCCACCCCCACCCCCAUUCCUUUGGCCUUCUGAGGACCAUCCUUGCAGGAUUCUGAUAGGACCACUUUUAUGCCUGGCUAUAGCUGUACUUGCUUUCAAGUCUCUGUUCCUCACCUCUUAUAUGCCUCCUUUAAAGUCUGAGCUCACUAGAGAGCACCCUAUGAGGCCACAUCACAUGGGUCUUUUUAGAGGCCUCAGCAGAGCCCUUCACAACAGUAUCAUCACCACUGGAGCCUUUCAUUCCUCUUGAGGCCUUUUCAUUUAGCAAUUCCAUAAGGGAUAUAGGAAGGAAGGAAGGGAGGGAGGAAGGAAGGAAGGAAGGAAGGAAGGAAGGAAGGAAGGAAGGAUGGAAGGAAGGAAGGAAGGAAGGAAGGAAGGAAGGAAGGAAGGAAGGAAGGAAGGAAGGAAGGAAGGAAGGAAGGAAGGAAAGAAGGAAGGAAGGAAGGAAGGAAAGAAAAAGAAGGAAGGAAGGAAAGAAAAAGAUGGAAGGAAGGAAGGAAAGAAAGAAGGAAAGAAGGAAAGAAGGAAAGAAAGAAGGAAGGAAGGAAGGAAGGAAGGAAGGAAGGAAGGAAGGAGAAGGAAAGAAAAGGAAGGAAGGAAAAGGAAGGAAGGAAGGAAGGAAGGAAGGAAGGAAGGAAGGAAGGAAGGAAGGAAGGAAGGAAGGAAAAGGGGAAGGAAGGAAGGAAGGAAAGGAAAGGAAGGAAAGGAAGGGGAAAUUGCGCUGUAGCUUGAGAAAAGUUUUGGAUCUGUGGCGGGGGGGGGGGGGGUGACAGAGCUGUUCUGGAGAAAAGAGUACAAGGAUUGGCUUGAGGAGGUGAGGGUUGGGUGAAAUUUGGAGUAGACUAAGUCAAGGUGACUUUUUCCAGUGAUCUUCAUCAGGCCUUGAGCAAGAUGGGAGAAGGCAGAUUGGGGGCGAUCCACAGUCGGUGGUCUAGAGAUCCAAUGAGUCAAUCCACCCACCCACCCGUUCCAAAGACCAUUGGAUGAGGGAUUUAAGGGUCAAGGACUGUGUAGAGUUGAACUGGCUAAACAAAAGGGAGGAGAGGGAGGCCAGAGCACAGAAGGGGACGCCUGGCAGUGCAGGGAGGGCUGAGGGACUUGGGUUGGGGUGGCGAUAGAGAAGGGCUCUGGGAGGGGGAGGAGCAGGGAGAUCUGGAAGGACGGGAGGUUCCGGCCGUGGAGGUGGUGCAUUGGUGAGUGAUGAGCUAAGGUGGUGGAUCAGGAGAGCUGAGGAGGUGAGAAAUGGGAGUGAGUGACCUGGGGGGCUGGACCACUUCCAUGGUCUUGGAGUGGGAUGGAGACCCUGGAAGGAUCACUGAGGAGCAGCCCUCCUGUCCCCCUUGGCCUGGGCUCUGCGGCUUGGGGUUGGGUGGGGAACCUGAGAGAAGGGACGCCCACCCCAACUGGAGAAGCGCCCCUGGACAGGAUCUGCCUAGGGUGAGGCAGGUUUCUGGGACUCGACGGUGUGAAAAGAACAGGUCUGAUAGGAAAGACGGGUUACAAAUAAUACAAAGAAGAGUACCUGUGUGGCUCUGGGGAUGGAGAGCCCAGGCCCAGAGAUAGGAGGUCCCUGGGUUCAAAUGUGGCCUCAGACAUUUCCUGGCUGUGUGACCCUGAGCAAGUCACUUGAUCCCCCAUUGCCUAGCCCUUACCAUUCUUCUGCCUUGAAAUCCAAUACAUAGUAUUGGAUUUCAAGACAGAAGGUAAGGCUGUUUUU